UAUGCCCACAUCACGUUGAAACACAAGUUCCCAUAAGAUCACCGAAGUUAAGCAACAUCGAGCCGGGUCAGUACCUAGACGGGUGACUGCUUGGGAAUACCUGGUGCUGUAGG
Acanthosepion pharaonis is the source of this 113-nucleotide non-coding RNA. NCBI's taxonomy places the organism in Eukaryota, Metazoa, Mollusca, Cephalopoda, Sepiida, Sepiidae. The record is from the annotation of a GenBank genome assembly.